GAUGAAGAACGCAGCGAAAUGCGAUACGUAAUGUGAAUUGCAGAAUUCAGUGAAUCAUCGAAUCUUUGAACGCAUAUUGCGCUCUCUGGUAUUCCGGAGAGCAUGCUUGUUUGAGUAUCAGUAAACACCUCAACUUCCAUAUCUUUUUUUGAAAUGGGAGUUGGACUUGAGUGAUCCCAACGCUUUUCCUCACCGAAAAGUGGCGGGUUACUUGAAAUGCAGGUGCAGCUGGACUUUUCUCUGAGCUAUAAGCAUAUCUAUUUAGUCUGCCUAAAAAACAGAUUAUUACCUUUGCUGCAGCUAACAUAAAGGAGAUUAGUUCUUGUGCUGACUGAUGCAGGAUUCACAAAGACAGCUUCGGCCGACUUUGUAAACUCGAUCUCAAACCAAGUAAGACUACCCGCUGAACUUAAGCAUAUCAAUAAGCGGAGGA
This 433-nucleotide unclassified non-coding RNA is filed under the name soil metagenome. RNAcentral's name for it is "partial contains 5.8S ribosomal RNA, internal transcribed spacer 2, and large subunit ribosomal RNA". The stretch from base 1 to 120 matches the Rfam family "5.8S ribosomal RNA", at positions 35 to 154 of the family's 154-position model. The record is from RNAcentral.